CAGGACGAACGCUGGCGGCGUGCUUAACACAUGCAAGUCGAACGGUGAAGCCCUUCGGGGUGGAUCAGUGGCGAACGGGUGAGUAACACGUGGGCAAUCUGCCCUGCACUCUGGGACAAGCCCUGGAAACGGGGUCUAAUACCGGAUACGACCUUCCUCUGCAUGGGGGUUGGUGGAAAGCUCCGGCGGUGCAGGAUGAGCCCGCGGCCUAUCAGCUUGUUGGUGGGGUAAUGGCCUACCAAGGCGACGACGGGUAGCCGGCCUGAGAGGGCGACCGGCCACACUGGGACUGAGACACGGCCCAGACUCCUACGGGAGGCAGCAGUGGGGAAUAUUGCACAAUGGGCGAAAGCCUGAUGCAGCGACGCCGCGUGAGGGAUGACGGCCUUCGGGUUGUAAACCUCUUUCAGCAGGGAAGAAGCGCAAGUGACGGUACCUGCAGAAGAAGCACCGGCUAACUACGUGCCAGCAGCCGCGGUAAUACGUAGGGUGCGAGCGUUGUCCGGAAUUAUUGGGCGUAAAGAGCUCGUAGGCGGCCUGUCGCGUCGGAUGUGAAAGCCCGGGGCUUAACCCCGGGUCUGCAUUCGAUACGGGCAGGCUAGAGUGUGGUAGGGGAGAUCGGAAUUCCUGGUGUAGCGGUGAAAUGCGCAGAUAUCAGGAGGAACACCGGUGGCGAAGGCGGAUCUCUGGGCCAUUACUGACGCUGAGGAGCGAAAGCGUGGGGAGCGAACAGGAUUAGAUACCCUGGUAGUCCACGCCGUAAACGNUNNGAACUAGGUGUUGGCGACAUUCCACGUCGUCGGUGCCGCAGCUAACGC
This 818-nucleotide ribosomal RNA is filed under the name bacterium. RNAcentral's name for it is "bacterial SSU rRNA". It matches the Rfam family "Bacterial small subunit ribosomal RNA", at positions 25 to 858 of the family's 1533-position model. The record is from RNAcentral.